GUGAAUCAUCAAAUCUUUGAACGCAAAUUGCACUCUCUUCGGUGCGUACGCCUGUUUGAGGGUCAGCAUUAAUAAAAAUCGGUGUGUUGCCUCUUUGUUACGCCCCGGAGUUUGGGUCAUCUUAAUAAUCUAUAGGCUUUAAGAGGCAUAAAAUUGACUUUUUUUGCGAUUUUUAGCUGUACAUAAAUUCUUUUUUUUAUUCGUCUGUAUUA
RNAcentral lists this unclassified non-coding RNA (212 nucleotides) under Glomeraceae sp. RNAcentral's name for it is "partial contains 5.8S ribosomal RNA and internal transcribed spacer 2". The stretch from base 1 to 65 matches the Rfam family "5.8S ribosomal RNA", at positions 84 to 154 of the family's 154-position model. The record is from RNAcentral. Lineage: Eukaryota; Fungi; Glomeromycota; Glomeromycetes; Glomerales; Glomeraceae.